This 404-nucleotide ribosomal RNA is filed under the name uncultured bacterium. Its description in RNAcentral is "bacterial SSU rRNA". It matches the Rfam family "Bacterial small subunit ribosomal RNA", at positions 355 to 776 of the family's 1533-position model. The record is from RNAcentral.
UGGGGAAUUUUGCGCAAUGGGGGAAACCCUGACGCAGCAACGCCGCGUGGAGGAUGAAAUCCCUUGGGAUGUAAACUCCUUUCGAUAGGGAAGAUUAUGACGGUACCUAUAGAAGAAGCCCCGGCUAACUUCGUGCCAGCAGCCGCGGUAAUACGAGGGGGGCAAGCGUUGUUCGGAAUUACUGGGCGUAAAGGGCGCGUAGGCUGUGCUGUAAGUCAGGCGUGAAAUCCCCGGGCUCAACCUGGGAAUUGCGCAUGAUACUGCGGCGCUGGAAUGCAGGAGAGGAUGGCGGAAUUCCCAGUGUAGAGGUGAAAUUCGUAGAUAUUGGGAAGAACACCGGUGGCGAAGGCGGCCAUCUGGCCUGCAAUUGACGCUGAGGCGCGAAAGCGUGGGGAGCAAACAGG